Molecule: long non-coding RNA, 1116 nt
Organism: Oncorhynchus tshawytscha (Chinook salmon)
Lineage: Eukaryota; Metazoa; Chordata; Actinopteri; Salmoniformes; Salmonidae
Source: Ensembl
AGAGUAGUGCAGAAGUUGUCAUAUGCUGAGGCAGUGAAGACAGUAGAGGAAGAUGGGUCAAGGGAGAAGGAUCCUGAAGAGGAGUGGUUAUGUGGAGUCCAGACAGUGGUCCUAAACUGCUGAAGGAGAUGGGGAUGCAGGAGGGUGUUACUGACAGGCCAUGUCUACCCAGAGGAGUACAAGCAGCUGUUUGAACUGGUGGAGUGGUUCCAGGAGUUCAUUCAGAGCUGGUUGUAUGAGGAGAUACUGGAGAACACCCAGAAAGAGGGCUGGCUCUAGACACACAGCGGCACCACCAGGACUGGAGGGAUAGUGCAGCCGGGAACUGGGCUGAAAAAACAGAGGCUGCUUGAAGCUACAGAUUCUAGAGGAAUCUAAACCCCUGAGAUGUUGGACUAGUGAAUCACACCUCAUGUCAUGGUUUAGGAUUGUCCUGGGCGGAUGUUGAGAUGUGACACUUUUGGUAUUGGACCUUUUUUAAAAGGAGCUAUGUGUAGAGAUGCUUGUUUAAAAGCCACUAGGUGUCUAAAAGUUGGUCGGUGAAAGGCAGCAGAGACUACACCAUAUAGGCCAUUUUCUAAAGGGUUGAUGAUGGAUAGCAGCAGAAAGGUGACUUUAUUGGCAAAGCAAGGUUGUAACGAGACAAGAUGUGUUCGAACCGUUCGAUCACAUUUUGUCACACUGUGUUAUCCACAGGUUUUUACUGUAGGUUUUUUGCUAACGCAGCACAUGAAGUUAACUGGUUCAUAAUAAUGUGUGAUGAAUGGUACCUACUGCUUGUAUAAUUUAGUGUACAUAUGUAGCAUGUUUGCAUGUACGGACAGUUCAUUCAAUAACAUACACAGUUUGUGGGUAUUUGAGCCUCUUCUGAAUGCUAGGUACUCAAUGUCUGACAGGUUCAGUCACUCAUGAUCAGUAUCAUUCUGUGGUCACUGGUCGUCAUAUCUGCCUGUAGUGUUUCCGAUGGAUAAAGAUAGUGGAUAAUGGAUAAAGAUAGUAUUGUGUUGUUCUCGUGUGUGCUAAGGGCAUUUCAAUUGCCAUAUUGAAUUGUUUCAUUCCAUAAGCAUUGGAGGAAAUGUGAUUGUAUCAAAAUAAAUAUUUUGCCAAUGUUGACAA